Molecule: ribosomal RNA, 265 nt
Filed under: uncultured bacterium
Lineage: Bacteria
Description: partial 16S ribosomal RNA
Source: RNAcentral
CUUUGUUGUGGGGGAUAAUAACCCGAAAAACUCCCUAUUACUACCUACUAUCUACGGGUGAAGGUGGGGGAUAUGAUUCCUCAUGCUUGGGAGCGGUGGAUAUCUGAUUAGCUAGUUGGUGGGGUAAAGGCCUACGCUGGCAUCGCUCACGAUCUGGUCUGGGAGGACGACCACGACCACUGGGACUGAGACUCGGACCAGACUCCUACUGCUAGCGGAGGUGGGGAAUUUUAGAUUGGGGCGCGGACCUGAUCCUGAACUGCCC